This 459-nucleotide ribosomal RNA is filed under the name uncultured bacterium. Its description in RNAcentral is "partial 16S ribosomal RNA". It matches the Rfam family "Bacterial small subunit ribosomal RNA", at positions 338 to 795 of the family's 1533-position model. The record is from RNAcentral.
CCUACGGGCGGCAGCAGUGAGGAAUAUUGGUCAAUGGGCGAGAGCCUGAACCAGCCAAGUCGCGUGAGGGAGUACUGCCCUAUGGGUUGUAAACCUCUUUUGUCGGGGAGCAAAAGCCGGACGUGUCCGGCUGUGAGAGUACCCGAAGAAAAAGCAUCGGCUAACUCCGUGCCAGCAGCCGCGGUAAUACGGAGGAUGCGAGCGUUAUCCGGAUUUAUUGGGUUUAAAGGGAGCGUAGGCCGCAUGUCAAGCGUGCUGUGAAAUGUCCGGGCUCAACCCGGGCCUUGCAGCGCGAACUGGCGUGCUUGAGUCCGCGGAAAGCAGGCGGAAUUCGUCGUGUAGCGGUGAAAUGCUUAGAUAUGACGAAGAACCCCGAUUGCGAAGGCAGCUUGCUGCAGCGGAACUGACGCUGAUGCUCGAAAGCGCGGGUAUCGAACAGGAUUAGAUACCCCAGUAGUC